AGUGAACGCUGGCGGUAGGCCUAACACAUGCAAGUCGAACGGCAGCACAGUAAGAGCUUGCUCUUACGGGUGGCGAGUGGCGGACGGGUGAGGAAUACAUCGGAAUCUACUUUUUCGUGGGGGAUAACGUAGGGAAACUUACGCUAAUACCGCAUACGACCUACGGGUGAAAGCAGGGGAUCUUCGGACCUUGCGCGAUUGAAUGAGCCGAUGUCGGAUUAGCUAGUUGGCGGGGUAAAGGCCCACCAAGGCGACGAUCCGUAGCUGGUCUGAGAGGAUGAUCAGCCACACUGGAACUGGGACAGGGUCCAGACUCCUACGGGAGGCAGCAGUGGGGAAUAUUGGGCAAUGGGCGCAAGCCUGAUCCAGCCAUACCGCGUGGGUGAAGAAGGCCUUCGGGGUGUAAAGCCCUUUUGUUGGGAAAGAAAAGCAGCAGGUUAAUACCCCGCUGUUCUGACGGUACCCAAAGAAUAAGCACCGGCUAACUUCGUG
RNAcentral lists this ribosomal RNA (492 nucleotides) under uncultured bacterium. RNAcentral's name for it is "partial 16S ribosomal RNA". It matches the Rfam family "Bacterial small subunit ribosomal RNA", at positions 29 to 507 of the family's 1533-position model. The record is from RNAcentral.